AGUGAACGCUGGCGGUAGGCCUAACACAUGCAAGUCGAACGGCAGCACAGUAAGAGCUUGCUCUUACGGGUGGCGAGUGGCGGACGGGUGAGGAAUACAUCGGAAUCUACUUUUUCGUGGGGGAUAACGUAGGGAAACUUACGCUAAUACCGCAUACGACCUACGGGUGAAAGCAGGGGAUCUUCGGACCUUGCGCGAUUGAAUGAGCCGAUGUCGGAUUAGCUAGUUGGCGGGGUAAAGGCCCACCAAGGCGACGAUCCGUAGCUGGUCUGAGAGGAUGAUCAGCCACACUGGAACUGAGACACGGUCCAGACUCCUACGGGAGGCAGCAGUGGGGAAUAGUGGACAAUGGGCUCAAGCCUGAUCCAGCCAUACCGCGUGGGUGAAGAAGGCCUGCGGGUUGUAAAGCCCUUUUGUUGGGAAAGAAAAGCAGCAGGUUAAUACCCCGCUGUUCUGACGGUACCCAAAGAAUAAGCACCGGCUAACUUC
Molecule: ribosomal RNA, 489 nt
Filed under: uncultured bacterium
Lineage: Bacteria
Description: partial 16S ribosomal RNA
Rfam family: Bacterial small subunit ribosomal RNA
Source: RNAcentral